This 960-nucleotide long non-coding RNA is filed under the name Mytilus galloprovincialis (Mediterranean mussel). The record is from RNAcentral. Lineage: Eukaryota; Metazoa; Mollusca; Bivalvia; Mytilida; Mytilidae.
CAAAUGUUGUCAGUGAAUAUAUACCAAUUGGCUAUCUAAACCUUGAAACAAAACCAUGGCAUGAGGAAUACACUGUAAAUUUGUUUUUGAUGUAAAACAAGACAGUAAAACAAUAGAUGCAGCAUCAAUGAAAGGAGGUGUCAAUGAGGCAGCAACCGGUGAACCCAAUGACAUACAUUACCAAAGUAAGACAUCAACAUGAUUAAGAGGACAUCUUGUUGACUUAAACAAAAAUUGAGAAUAAAAGUACCAAAAGGUCAACAUUAUACAAGCAAGAACAUGCGGUAUGAAUACCAAUGAGACAACUAUCCACCCCAAGUUCAAAGGAGGUGGAUGAGAGCAAGUAUAGGCAACUGCAUGUAUGGCCUUUAACAAUGAUAAAAAUUCAUGCAUAAUUUUGAUAGAGAAUACAGACAGGGAAUGUGUCAAAGAGACAUUAACCCGACAAGAGAGCAGGAAACAACCCAAUGCCACCAAUGGGUCGUGUCAUCACCACAGCGAGAUAAUCUCGCAUCCCGUAGCGGAAUUCAGCUUGCACCAAGACAUUUCUAAAUGUAUAUUUCUAUAUGAUUUAUGUUUUUUUCCAAACAUUUUGUUUUUCAUAUAUGCUAUGCUGGUGACCAAAAAUUAAUAUGAUUUUAACAUUUACUUUAUUUUGUAGACAAACCAAUGAUGAUUUCGGGACACAGUUGUUAUGUGUAAAAUGUGAAGAAUUAAAAAAAACUAUAUAAAUAUUCGAAUUUUCAUUGUAUCAUAAACAGCUUCAAUUUUAUAAGAAAAAAGAUUCAAAGAUUUUUUUUUAAUUACUGCAGCAGCAAUCAUUAUAAAUAAAUCACAGUAUCAAAAAUGUUGGGUUAACAUUAUUUUGACAGCAACCACAAAGCGAAAAAAGGUACACAGACAUAUAUUAAGUAAAUGAAACAAACAUCAAGAAACACAUUGUUGUCAGAUAUGUCGGAG